RNAcentral lists this ribosomal RNA (169 nucleotides) under Cocleimonas flava. The record is from RNAcentral. Lineage: Bacteria; Pseudomonadati; Pseudomonadota; Gammaproteobacteria; Thiotrichales; Thiotrichaceae.
CUUGGUGACAAUAGAGACAUGGAACCACCUGAAUCCAUCUCGAACUCAGAAGUGAAACGUGUCAUCGCCGAUGAUAGUGUGGGGCUUCCCCAUGUGAAAGUAGGUCAUCACCAAGUUAUUAUCCUGAAAGCCCGUUCUAACGAACGGGCUUUUUUUAUGCCUGCGAUUU